AUUGAACGCUGGCGGCAGGCCUAACACAUGCAAGUCGAACGAGUGGCGGACGGGUGAGUAAUGUCUGGGAAACUGCCUGAUGGAGGGGGAUAACUACUGGAAACGGUAGCUAAUACCGCAUACCAUCGGAUGUGCCCAGACGGGAUUAGCUAGUAGGUGGGGUAAAGGCUCACCUAGGGGACGAUCCCUAGCUGGUCUGAGAGGAUGACCAGCAAAACUGGAACUGAGCCACGGUCCAGACUCCUCCGGGCGGCAGCAGUGGGGGAUAGUGAACGAUGGGCGAAAAACAGAUGCAGCAGUGCCGCGUGGAUGAAGAGGGCCUUCGGGUUUUAAGGUACUUUCAGAGGGGAGGCGUUACCCGAAGAAGAAGCACCGGAUAACUCAGUGCCAGCAGCCGCGGUAAUAC
This 406-nucleotide ribosomal RNA is filed under the name uncultured bacterium. RNAcentral describes it as "partial 16S ribosomal RNA". It matches the Rfam family "Bacterial small subunit ribosomal RNA", at positions 29 to 526 of the family's 1533-position model. The record is from RNAcentral.